This 253-nucleotide ribosomal RNA is filed under the name uncultured bacterium. RNAcentral's name for it is "partial 16S ribosomal RNA". It matches the Rfam family "Bacterial small subunit ribosomal RNA", at positions 524 to 776 of the family's 1533-position model. The record is from RNAcentral.
UACAGAGGGUGCGAGCGUUAAUCGGAAUUACUGGGCGUAAAGCGCACGUAGGUGGCGACGUAAGUCGGGUGUGAAAGCCCCGGGCUCAACCUGGGAAUUGCAUUCGAGACUGCAUUGCUGGAGUACGGUAGAGGAGGGCGGAAUUCCCGGUGUAGCGGUGAAAUGCGUAGAUAUCGGGAGGAACAUCAGUGGCGAAGGCGGCCCUCUGGUCCAGUACUGACACUCAAGUGCGAAGGCGUGGGGAGCAAACAGC